UGAUUCUCAUAUAAAAACAGAACUCAGAACUGGGAGGACUACAAUUUAGGCAAAUUUUGAGACUGGCUUUGUCCAUGGUUGUCUGAUUUAUUUCAGUUGUCACUUCACAAAUGCACUAAGUCUUUAUAAAUUGGCUGAACUCAUCAGGGCUAAAUUACAUGUGUUUUUAAAAGGUCUACCAACUGACCCUAACCUAACUGCCUUGUGCUCCAUGAUGUUCUGGCUCAGGUGGUCUCAGCCAAGCAGGCAAUUUCUUAUCUCCCAGGCUGUCUCAAACCUUGAUCUUUUCCAGUUGCAAGCCACUGGGCACUCAUCAUUUGUCUCUCUUGGAAUUACCCACACCAUGCUGCCAACUUGUAUCUGACUCCUCCUUCAAAGCCAUGCUCAACAUGUACAGUUGUGUUAAGUAGGUCGUCAGCCUGCCCAAAUACAUAUCAGCAUUCACCUACCUUCCUUUUCUAUGACGGCUUUGCUGCUUUUCUCUCAGUGAAGCAGUACAUUAAGUAAAAGUAGUGCAUUAAGCACUUUCCCUUGUAUUAAGUCUUUUUAAGUAAA
This 555-nucleotide long non-coding RNA is filed under the name Pan troglodytes (chimpanzee). RNAcentral describes it as "long non-coding RNA NONPTRT015728". The record is from RNAcentral. Lineage: Eukaryota; Metazoa; Chordata; Mammalia; Primates; Hominidae.